AGUGAACGCUGGCGGCGUGCCUAAUACAUGCAAGUCGAACGGAAUUUAAAAGAGCUUGCCCUUUUAAAUUUAGUGGCGCACGGGUGAGUAAUAUAUAGCUAAUCUGCCCCUUGCUGGAGGACAACAGUUAGAAAUGACUGCUAAUACUCCAUACUCCUUUUUACCAUAAGAUAAAUCGGGAAAGAAUUUCGGCAAGGGAUGAGACUAUAUCGUAUCAGCUAGUCGGUGGGGUAACGGCCUACCGAGGCUAUGACGCGUAACUGGUCUGAGAGGAUGAUCAGUCACAUUGGGACUGAGACACGGUCCAAGCUCCUACGGGAGGCAGCAGUAGGGAAUAUUGCGCGAUGGGGGAAACCCUGACGCAGCAACGCCGCGUGGAGGAUGACACUUUUCGGAGCGUAAACUCCUUUUGUUAGGGAAGAAUAAGACGGUACCUAAC
Molecule: ribosomal RNA, 439 nt
Filed under: Campylobacter gracilis
Lineage: Bacteria; Pseudomonadati; Campylobacterota; Epsilonproteobacteria; Campylobacterales; Campylobacteraceae
Description: bacterial SSU rRNA
Rfam family: Bacterial small subunit ribosomal RNA
Source: RNAcentral